Molecule: ribosomal RNA, 883 nt
Filed under: uncultured bacterium
Lineage: Bacteria
Description: bacterial SSU rRNA
Rfam family: Bacterial small subunit ribosomal RNA
Source: RNAcentral
GGCGNUCAGGAAAGUCUGGAGUAAAAGGCUAUGGCUCAACCAUAGUGUGCUNUGGAAACUGUCUGACUCGAGUGCAGAAGGGGAGAGUGGAAUUCCAUGUGUAGCGGUGAAAUGCGUAGAUAUAUGGAGGANCACCAGUGGCGAAAGCGGCUCUCUGGUCUGUCACUGACGCUGAGGCUCGAAAGCGUGGGUAGCGAACAGGAUUAGAUACCCUGGUAGUCCACGCCGUAAACGAUGAGUGCUAGGUGUUAGGCCCUUUCCGGGGCUUAGUGCCGGAGCUAACGCAAUAAGCACUCCGCCUGGGGAGUACGACCGCAGGGUUGAAACUCUAAGGAAUUGACGGGGGCCCGCACAAGCGGUGGAGCAUGUGGUUUAAUUCGAAGCAACGCGAAGAACCUUACCAGGUCUUGACAUCCCGAUGCUAUUCUUAGAGAUAGGAAGUUACUUCGGUACAUCGGAGACAGGUGGUGCAUGGUUGUCGUCAGCUCGUGUCGUGAGAUGUUGGGUUAAGUCCCGCAACGAGCGCAACCCUUAUUGUUAGUUGCCAUCAUUAAGUUGGGCACUCUAGCGAGACUGCCGGUAAUAAACCGGAGGAAGGUGGGGAUGACGUCAAAUCAUCAUGCCCCUUAUGACCUGGGCUACACACGUGCUACAAUGGUCGGUACAACGAGUUGCGAGCCGGUGACGGCAAGCUAAUCUCUGAAAGCCGAUCUCAGUUCGGAUUGGAGGCUGCAACUCGCCUCCAUGAAGUCGGAAUCGCUAGUAAUCGCGGAUCAGCACGCCGCGGUGAAUACGUUCCCGGGCCUUGUACACACCGCCCGUCACACCACGAGAGUUUGUAACACCCGAAGUCGGUGAGGUAACCUUUUAGGGGCCAGCCGCC